Parelaphostrongylus tenuis is the source of this 74-nucleotide non-coding RNA. Lineage: Eukaryota; Metazoa; Nematoda; Chromadorea; Rhabditida; Metastrongylidae. The record is from the annotation of a GenBank genome assembly.
GCGUCAGUAGUGCAGCGGUUUGAACACACGCCUCCGAAUAUGAUGAAAUGUGGGAUCGGGUCCCACCUGACGCA